Molecule: long non-coding RNA, 607 nt
Filed under: Zea mays
Lineage: Eukaryota; Viridiplantae; Streptophyta; Magnoliopsida; Poales; Poaceae
Description: long non-coding RNA NONZMAT002380
Source: RNAcentral
GAGGAGUUCAAUUUGAACUAAGAACCUACAAAUAACCAUGUAUCACCAUUGUUUUCUUGCUAGCUUUUCUUAAUCUCGAGGACGAGAUUCUUUUUAAGAGGGGUAGAUUUUGUAACACCCUAAUCCAUCAAUUGAAAAUAACUUAGUUUAGAAAAAAAUUAUGUUUUCAAAUAAUGAAAUGAUGAUUUCCUGAUUAGAUAAAAUUUUGUUAAGUGUUUGAUGCAUUCAUGUCGACGCACACAUUUUGUUUGACUGAUUUGUAGAACCAAUCUUUGGGUUCAAAUUUUGUGAUACAAAAACUCCAUUUUGUGAAAUAAUGAUUUGUUAGAAAUAAUAUUGAAAAAUAUGUAUUUUGAUAUGAUUAAUAAUUUUUGUUUGUAGGUAUUUGCAAAUUUCAUUUUAUUUGAUUUCAUUCCCUUAUAUAAAGUCUUUUUUUAAAUAAUAGAAAUUGCCUAAAGAUUAUUUAAUAUGAACUUUAUUUAUUAUAAUAAUAAUAUUAUAUUUAUUAUACUUUUGGAAUAUUUAAAACAUAUUUAUUAACGAAUAAGCUAUUCUAAGUAAAUAAAAGAAAAUGAAUUUCGAAAUUAAGAAAAAGAAAACUACGCAC